GCGAGAGUGGUGGAAUUGGUAUACACGCUAGUCUUAGGAACUAGUGCUUCGGCUUGCGGGUUCGAGUCCCGCCUCUCGCA
This 80-nucleotide transfer RNA is filed under the name Candidatus Ornithospirochaeta stercorigallinarum. Its description in RNAcentral is "tRNA-Leu". It matches the Rfam family "tRNA". From Rfam's summary of the family: Transfer RNA (tRNA) molecules are approximately 80 nucleotides in length. Their secondary structure includes four short double-helical elements and three loops (D, anti-codon, and T loops). The record is from RNAcentral. Lineage: Bacteria; Pseudomonadati; Spirochaetota; Spirochaetia; Spirochaetales; Spirochaetaceae.